RNAcentral lists this ribosomal RNA (465 nucleotides) under uncultured bacterium. RNAcentral's name for it is "partial 16S ribosomal RNA". It matches the Rfam family "Bacterial small subunit ribosomal RNA", at positions 28 to 507 of the family's 1533-position model. The record is from RNAcentral.
GACGAACGCUGGCGGCGUGCUUAACACAUGCAAGUCGAACGGAAAGGCCCCUUCGGGGGUACUCGAGUGGCGAACAGGUGAGUAACACGUGAGUAACCUGCCCUUGACUUCGGGAUAACUUCAGGAAACUGGGGCUAAUACCGGAUAGGAAUCCUUGCUGCAUGGUGGGGGUUGGAAAGCUUCGGCGGUUUUGGAUGGACUGGCGGCUUAUCAGCUUGUUGGUGGGGUAGUGGCUUACCAAGGCUUUGACGGGUAGCCGGCCUGAGAGGGCGACCGGCCACCUUGGGACUGAGAUACGGCCCAGACUCCUACGGUAGGCAGCAGUGGGGAAUAUUGCACAAUGGGCGGAAGCCUGAUGCAGCAACGCCGCGUGCGGGAUGACGGCCUUCGGGUUGUAAACCGCUUUCAGCAGGGGCGAAGCUUGUGGUGACGGUACCUGCAGAAGAAGCACCGGCUAACUACGUG